Molecule: ribosomal RNA, 2330 nt
Filed under: Streptococcus pneumoniae 8190-05
Lineage: Bacteria; Bacillati; Bacillota; Bacilli; Lactobacillales; Streptococcaceae
Description: bacterial LSU rRNA
Rfam family: Bacterial large subunit ribosomal RNA
Source: RNAcentral
CCGUUAAUGGGUGAGAGCGUGCCUUUUGUAGAAUGAACCGGCGAGUUACGUUAUGAUGCGAGGUUAAGUUGAAGAGACGGAGCCGUAGGGAAACCGAGUCUGAACAGGGCGAAUUAGUAUCAUGACGUAGACCCGAAACCAUGUGACCUACCCAUGAGCAGGUUGAAGGUGCGGUAAGACGCACUGGAGGACCGAACCAGGGCACGUUGAAAAGUGCUUGGAUGACUUGUGGGUAGCGGAGAAAUUCCAAACGAACUUGGAGAUAGCUGGUUCUCUCCGAAAUAGCUUUAGGGCUAGCGUCGACAUUAGAGAUUCUUGGAGGUAGAGCACUGUUUGGGUGAGGGGUCCAUCCCGGAUUACCAAUCUCAGAUAAACUCCGAAUGCCAAUGAAUUAUGGUCGGCAGUCAGACUGCGAGUGCUAAGAUCCGUAGUCGAAAGGGAAACAGCCCAGACCACCAGCUAAGGUCCCAAAAUAAUUGUUAAGUGGAAAAGGAUGUGGGGUUGCACAGACAACUAGGAUGUUAGCUUAGAAGCAGCUAUUCAUUCAAAGAGUGCGUAAUAGCUCACUAGUCGAGUGACCCUGCGCCGAAAAUGUACCGGGGCUAAAACAAUUUACCGAAGCUGUGGAUACCUUUAUAGGUAUGGUAGGAGAGCGUUCUAUGUGUGAUGAAGGUAUACCGUGAGGAGUGCUGGAACGCAUAGAAGUGAGAAUGCCGGUAUGAGUAGCGAAAGACAGGUGAGAAUCCUGUCCACCGUAAGACUAAGGUUUCCAGGGGAAGGCUCGUCCGCCCUGGGUUAGUCGGGACCUAAGGAGAGACCGAAAGGUGUAUCCGAUGGACAACAGGUUGAUAUUCCUGUACUAGAGUAUGUAGUGAUGGAGGGACGCAGUAGGCUAACUAAAGCAGACGAUUGGAAGAGUCUGUCUAAGCAGUGAGGUGUGAAUUGAGUCAAAUGCUUAAUUCUAUAACAUUGAGCUGUGAUGGGGAGCGAAGUUUAGUAGCGAAGUUAGUGACGUCACACUGCCAAGAAAAGCUUCUAGCGUUUAAACAUACUCUACCCGUACCGCAAACCGACACAGGUAGUCGAGGCGAGUAGCCUCAGGUGAGCGAGAGAACUCUCGUUAAGGAACUCGGCAAAAUGACCCCGUAACUUCGGGAGAAGGGGUGCUGACUUUAGGUCAGCCGCAGUGAAUAGGCCCAAGCAACUGUUUAUCAAAAACACAGCUCUCUGCUAAAUCGUAAGAUGAUGUAUAGGGGGUGACGCCUGCCCGGUGCUGGAAGGUUAAGAGGAGUGCUUAGCGUAAGCGAAGGUAUGAAUUGAAGCCCCAGUAAACGGCGGCCGUAACUAUAACGGUCCUAAGGUAGCGAAAUUCCUUGUCGGGUAAGUUCCGACCCGCACGAAAGGCGUAAUGAUUUGGGCACUGUCUCAACGAGAGACUCGGUGAAAUUUUAGUACCUGUGAAGAUGCAGGUUACCCGCGACAGGACGGAAAGACCCCAUGGAGCUUUACUGCAGUUUGAUAUUGAGUGUCUGUACCACAUGUACAGGAUAGGUAGGAGUCUAAGAGAUCGGGACGCCAGUUUCGAAGGAGACGCUGUUGGGAUACUACCCUUGUGUUAUGGCCACUCUAACCCAGAUAGGUGAUCCCUAUCGGAGACAGUGUCUGACGGGCAGUUUGACUGGGGCGGUCGCCUCCUAAAAGGUAACGGAGGCGCCCAAAGGUUCCCUCAGAAUGGUUGGAAAUCAUUCGCAGAGUGUAAAGGUAUAAGGGAGCUUGACUGCGAGAGCUACAACUCGAGCAGGGACGAAAGUCGGGCUUAGUGAUCCGGUGGUUCCGUAUGGAAGGGCCAUCGCUCAACGGAUAAAAGCUACCCUGGGGAUAACAGGCUUAUCUCCCCAAGAGUUCACAUCGACGGGGAGGUUUGGCACCUCGAUGUCGGCUCGUCGCAUCCUGGGGCUGUAGUCGGUCCCAAGGGUUGGGCUGUUCGCCCAUUAAAGCGGCACGCGAGCUGGGUUCAGAACGUCGUGAGACAGUUCGGUCCCUAUCCGUCGCGGGCGUAGGAAAUUUGAGAGGAUCUGCUCCUAGUACGAGAGGACCAGAGUGGACUUACCGCUGGUGUACCAGUUGUCUUGCCAAAGGCAUCGCUGGGUAGCUAUGUAGGGAAGGGAUAAACGCUGAAAGCAUCUAAGUGUGAAACCCACCUCAAGAUGAGAUUUCCCAUGAUUAUAUAUCAGUAAGAGCCCUGAGAGAUGAUCAGGUAGAUAGGUUAGAAGUGGAAGUGUGGCGACACAUGUAGCGGACUAAUACUAAUAGCUCGAGGACUUAUCCAA